Molecule: ribosomal RNA, 251 nt
Filed under: uncultured Burkholderiales bacterium
Lineage: Bacteria; Pseudomonadati; Pseudomonadota; Betaproteobacteria; Burkholderiales
Description: partial 16S ribosomal RNA
Rfam family: Bacterial small subunit ribosomal RNA
Source: RNAcentral
UACUGGGCGUAAAGCGUGCGCAGGCGGCUUUGCAAGACAGAGGUGAAAUCCCCGGGCUCAACCUGGGAACUGCCUUUGUGACUGCAAGGCUAGAGUACGGCAGAGGGGGAUGGAAUUCCGCGUGUAGCAGUGAAAUGCGUAGAUAUGCGGAGGAACACCGAUGGCGAAGGCAAUCCCCUGGGCCUGUACUGACGCUCAUGCACGAAAGCGUGGGGAGCAAACAGGAUUAGAUACCCUGGUAGUCAAGGGCG